AAAGACCUUAUGCUUUUGGAGCGGCCGAUGUCUGAUUAGCUAGUUGGUAAGGUAAUGGCUUACCAAGGCAACGGUCAGUAGUUGGUCUGAGAGGACGACCAGCCACACUGGGACUGAGACACGGCCCAGACUCCUACGGGAGGCAGCAGUGGGGAAUUUUGGACAAUGGGCGCAAGCCUGAUCCAGCAAUGCCGCGUGAGUGAAGAAGGCCUUCGGGUUGUAAAGCUCUUUCAGUUGAGAAGAAAAGAUUGUGACUAAUAAUUGCAAUUCAUGACGGUAUCAACAGAAGAAGCACCGGCUAACUACGUGCCAGCAGCCGCGGUAAUACGUAGGGUGCGAGCGUUAAUCGGAAUUACUGGGCGUAAAGGGUGCGCAGGCGGCUUUGUAAGUCAGAUGUGAAAUCCCCGGGCUUAACCUGGGAACUGCGUUUGAAA
This 434-nucleotide ribosomal RNA is filed under the name uncultured Nitrosomonas sp. RNAcentral's name for it is "bacterial SSU rRNA". It matches the Rfam family "Bacterial small subunit ribosomal RNA", at positions 202 to 632 of the family's 1533-position model. The record is from RNAcentral. Lineage: Bacteria; Pseudomonadati; Pseudomonadota; Betaproteobacteria; Nitrosomonadales; Nitrosomonadaceae.